Long non-coding RNA from Triticum aestivum (bread wheat), 881 nucleotides. RefSeq lists it as uncharacterized. The record is from RefSeq and is a predicted model, not a curated record. The transcript has 3 exons. NCBI's taxonomy places the organism in Eukaryota, Viridiplantae, Streptophyta, Magnoliopsida, Poales, Poaceae.
UCGCGUCGCCGCGUCCUCUCCUCCUCCCUGCCCUCUCGGUGCAUGCUCAGCGGGACGAGCGCGGCUCGCCGGACCUAGCCCGCAUCUCUGGCGUUGUGCGUUGUGGUUCUGGUCCGGUCGCAGGUCGCCGCCAUGGGAAAGCACGGGCUGAAUGGUACUCCCCGUCUCCCCUCUGUGCCCUCUCUCUUCCCCGACCUCUUUCUCUUCCCGCGUUCUCGAUCUUGUGCCACCACACAUCCUGGUUCUGGAUCGGGCUCAGAGAGCAUGGCUGGUGUGGUCUUCAUGCUUAGUGAGGAGGAGCAGGGGAGGGUGAGUAGGACGGGCAUGGGGAAGGAGCAGCCAGGCCGGAGCUCCGGCGUCGCUCGCGUCAUAGUGGAAUGGAGCCGACCAUCACUAUGGGCUGCAUCCCGCCAGUCAUCGUACCCCAAUCUCUGUUGCACAUCUUUGGAUUCACCAUCUUCCUCCCCUGUUUUUUUCUACCUCUUGCCCCCUGGUUCUUUAAUAUAAUUUGGAUUUGUUGUUUUAUGUUUUUACUAAACAGGACAAGUAUGGGAGCUCCAGUAAGGCCAACGUUUAGGACCAGUCCAUGUCCGAGACGACAUUUGGGAGGGUGUCCAAUUUCAUCGGAUCUUUUGCAAUGUUUCCUCAGAAGGAUGAGCCUAGAGAUAUGGAAGAUCUAAAAGCCUCUGUGAAAGAUUUUUGUUCUGCAGAAGCCAAUGAUCUGGUACACUAGGACCUUAACUUCUGGAGUGAACGACUGCGGGAAUCAAAAUACAAUAUUGAUGAGGUUCUUUCUUUACAGAAGUAGAUUACAAUAUUGAUGAAAUUAGCUCCUGGCCAUUGCAUCAUUGCAUACUUAUUGGAAUUUGAUUUGCUCAUUA